UAAAUUCAUAAUCUCUCUUGACAAAGAGGGCACUGAGUUCCUAAUAACGCAUAACAAUUCCACUCCCAAGCAGCUUUGUCAUACUUCUAUGAGAUAGGUACAUUCAUAUUCAAAGCAGAGGUUUCUGGAAAGGAAAUUUGGUGACUUACUUGCAGAGACAGGAAAUGAUCUUCGUCACUGCUAGAACCUCUGCAUUCACCAUCUAUCCCACUGAAUUCGAAUUGAUUCAACACUAGGCGAUUUCUGGGUACCUUGCAAUUGCUUGACGAAGGAAAAAGCUCUCUUGAAAUUGGAUUUCGAGAGCUCCCUGUCCACUCUUUUCAGAGACCGACGACGUCGUAUGGCAUAAUCGGCUUCCUUCACUUU
RNAcentral lists this unclassified non-coding RNA (366 nucleotides) under Hevea brasiliensis (rubber tree). The record is from RNAcentral. Lineage: Eukaryota; Viridiplantae; Streptophyta; Magnoliopsida; Malpighiales; Euphorbiaceae.